This 246-nucleotide ribosomal RNA is filed under the name uncultured bacterium. Its description in RNAcentral is "partial 16S ribosomal RNA". It matches the Rfam family "Bacterial small subunit ribosomal RNA", at positions 88 to 334 of the family's 1533-position model. The record is from RNAcentral.
AAAUCGAGUGGCGAACGGGUGAGUAACGCGUGAGGAACCUGCCUCAAAGAGGGGGACAACAGUUGGAAACGGCUGCUAAUACCGCAUAAGCGCACGGUACCGCAUGGUACGGUGUGAAAAACUCCGGUGGUAUGAGAUGGACCCGCGUCUGAUUAGGUAGUUGGUGGGGUAACGGCCUACCAAGCCGACGAUCAGUAGCCGACCUGAGAGGGUGACCGGCCACAUUGGGACUGAGACACGGCCCAA